UGGGGAAUUUUGGACAAUGGGCGCAAGCCUGAUCCAGCCAUGCCGCGUGUCUGAAGAAGGCCUUCGGGUUGUAAAGGACUUUUGUCAGGGAAGAAAAGGACAGGGUUAAUACCUCUGUUUGAUGACGGUACCUGAAGAAUAAGCACCGGCUAACUACGUGCCAGCAGCCGCGGUAAUACGUAGGGUGCGAGCGUUAAUCGGAAUUACUGGGCGUAAAGCGCACGCAGGCGGUCUGUCAAGUCGGAUGUGAAAUCCCCGGGCUCAACCUGGGAACUGCAUUCGAAACUGGCAGGCUAGAGUCUUGUAGAGGGGGGUAGAAUUCCAGGUGUAGCGGUGAAAUGCGUAGAGAUCUGGAGGAAUACCGGUGGCGAAGGCGGCCCCCUGGACAAAGACUGACGCUCAGGUGCGAAAGCGUGGGGAGCAAACAGGAUUAGAUACCCUGGUAGUCCACGCUGUAAACGAUGUCGAUUUGGAGGUUGUGCCCUUGAGGCGUGGCUUCCGGAGCUAACGCGUUAAAUCGACCGCCUGGGGAGUACGGCCGCAAGGUUA
This 549-nucleotide ribosomal RNA is filed under the name uncultured bacterium. RNAcentral's name for it is "bacterial SSU rRNA". It matches the Rfam family "Bacterial small subunit ribosomal RNA", at positions 355 to 896 of the family's 1533-position model. The record is from RNAcentral.